GAUGAACGCUGGCGGCGUGCUUAACACAUGCAAGUCGAACGAAGCAUUUAAGACAGAUUACUUCGGUUUGAAGUCUUUUAUGACUGAGUGGCGGACGGGUGAGUAACGCGUGGGUAACCUGCCUCAUACAGGGGGAUAGCACCUGGAAACGGCUGGUAAUACCGCAUAAGCGCACAGUACCACAUGGUACAGUGUGAAAAACUCCGGUGGUAUGAGAUGGACCCGCGUCUGAUUAGCUUGUUGGCGGGGUAACGGCACACCAAGGCGACGAUCAGUAGCCGACCGGGGAGGGUGACCGGCCACAAUGGGACUGCGGCACGGCCCAGAAUCCUACGGGAGGCAGCGGUGGGGAAUAUUGCAGAAUGAAGGCAAGUCUGAUGCAGCGGCGCCGGGGGAGUGAAGAAGUGGUUCGUUAUGUGAAGCUCUAUGAGCAGGGAAGAUAGUGACGGUACCUGACUAAGAAGCUCCGGCUAAAUACGUG
RNAcentral lists this ribosomal RNA (481 nucleotides) under uncultured bacterium. Its description in RNAcentral is "partial 16S ribosomal RNA". It matches the Rfam family "Bacterial small subunit ribosomal RNA", at positions 28 to 507 of the family's 1533-position model. The record is from RNAcentral.